RNAcentral lists this ribosomal RNA (483 nucleotides) under Neogloboquadrina incompta. Its description in RNAcentral is "bacterial SSU rRNA". It matches the Rfam family "Eukaryotic small subunit ribosomal RNA", at positions 1211 to 1459 of the family's 1831-position model. Lineage: Eukaryota; Foraminifera; Rotaliida; Globorotaliidae. The record is from RNAcentral.
AAUCUUACCAGGUCCGGACACACUGAGGAUUGACAGGAAGUAUCGUCUUUUGAAUUCUUUAAGGAUAUGUCGUUUUUAAUGACAUCUUUUAGAUGGAUGAUUCGUGUAAAUAUGCUAGUUCUUUCAUGAUUAUGUGAUAGGUGGUGCAUGGCCGUUCUUAGUUCGUGGAGUGAUCUGUCUGCUUAAUUGCGUUUCACUAAGGCCCCAAAGUUAGCAAAUUAUCAAUCGUUACAGAGUCGACCCCUCACCUUUGAGUGCGCGUCCUAACUUGUAGUACAUGGUGUAAAUGGAUUUGUUUUGGGUACCCAGAAAGCAACGAACGUGACCGCAACGUCUUGUUGUCUCUCUUUGACAGUUAUGGGUUAUCCCAGUCAUGUGUUUAUACUUUUAUGUGUAAAUACGUACGACACAGAGACGAGAUACCAAACUAGGCGUACCGCUGUAUCAUUUCUUUAAACCAGAGGAAGGUUGCGGCAAUAACAG